This 418-nucleotide ribosomal RNA is filed under the name uncultured prokaryote. RNAcentral describes it as "bacterial SSU rRNA". It matches the Rfam family "Archaeal small subunit ribosomal RNA", at positions 455 to 873 of the family's 1478-position model. The record is from RNAcentral.
GUGUCAGCAGCCGCGGUAAUACCAGCUCUCCGAGUGGUGGGGACGUUUAUUGGGCCUGAAGCAUCCGUAGCCAGCUGAGCAAGUCCCCAGUUAAAUCCAGCGAUUUAAUCGUUGGACUGCUGGGGAUACUGUCCGGCUAGGGGGUGGGAGAGGCCGACGGUAUUCCCGGGGUAGGGGUGAAAUCCUAUAAUCCCGGGAGGACCACCAGUGGCGAAGGCUGUUGGCUAGAACAUGCCCGACGGUGAGGGAUGAAAGCUGGGGGAGCGAACCGGAUUAGAUACCCGGGUAGUCCCAGCUGUAAACGAUGCAGGCUAGGUGUUAGGGCGGCCACGUGCCGCUCUAGUGCCGCAGGGAAGCUGUUAAGCCUGCCGCCUGGGGAGUACGGCCGCAAGGCUGAAACUUAAAUGAAUUGGCGGGG